RNAcentral lists this ribosomal RNA (735 nucleotides) under uncultured bacterium. RNAcentral's name for it is "bacterial SSU rRNA". It matches the Rfam family "Bacterial small subunit ribosomal RNA", at positions 28 to 776 of the family's 1533-position model. The record is from RNAcentral.
GACGAACGCUGGCGGCGCUCCUAACACAUGCAAGUCGAACGAGCGAGAGAGAGCUUGCUUUCUCAAGCGAGUGGCGAACGGGUGAGUAACGCGUGAGGAACCUGCCUCAAAGAGGGGGACAACAGUUGGAAACGACUGCUAAUACCGCAUAAGCCCACGACCCGGCAUCGGGUUGAGGGAAAAGGAGCAAUCCGCUUUGAGAUGGCCUCGCGUCCGAUUAGCUGGUUGGUGAGGUAACGGCCCACCAAGGCAACGAUCGGUAGCCGGACUGAGAGGUUGAACGGCCACAUUGGGACUGAGACACGGCCCAGACUCCUACGGGAGGCAGCAGUGGGGAAUAUUGCACAAUGGGGGAAACCCUGAUGCAGCGACGCCGCGUGGAGGAAGAAGGUCUUCGGAUUGUAAACUCCUGUUGUUGAGGAAGAUGAUGACGGUACUCAACAAGGAAGUGACGGCUAACUACGUGCCAGCAGCCGCGGUAAAACGUAGGUCACAAGCGUUGUCCGGAAUUACUGGGUGUAAAGGGAGCGCAGGCGGGAAGACAAGUUGGAAGUGAAAUCUAUGGGCUCAACCCAUAAACUGCUUUCAAAACUGUUUUUCUUGAGUAGUGCAGAGGUAGGCGGAAUUCCCGGUGUAGCGGUGGAAUGCGUAGAUAUCGGGAGGAACACCAGUGGCGAAGGCGGCCUACUGGGCACCAACUGACGCUGAGGCUCGAAAGUGUGGGUAGCANACAGG